This 820-nucleotide ribosomal RNA is filed under the name uncultured eukaryote. Its description in RNAcentral is "SSU rRNA". It matches the Rfam family "Eukaryotic small subunit ribosomal RNA", at positions 629 to 1426 of the family's 1831-position model. The record is from RNAcentral.
CGGUGUUUAACUGGCGUGAUGUGGGACGUCCUACCGGUGGGCUUAGCCUCGCGAGGGGCGGCCCAACUAAUAUCCCGUCGCGGUGCUCUUUACUGAGUGUCGAGUCGGGCCGGUACGUUUACUUUGAACAAAUUAGAGUGCUUAAAGCAGGCUAUCCUCGCCUGAAUACUGCGUGCAUGGAAUAAUGGAAUAGGACCUCGGUUCUAUUUUGUUGGUUUUCGGAACCCCGAGGUAAUGAUUAAUAGGGACAGAUGGGGGCAUUCGUAUUGCGACGUUAGAGGUGAAAUUCUUGGAUCGUCGCAAGACGGACAGAAGCGAAAGCAUUUGCCAAAAAUGUUUUCAUUAAUCAAGAACGAAAGUUAGAGGUUCGAAGGCGAUCAGAUACCGCCCUAGUUCUAACCAUAAACGAUGCCAGCUAGCGAUCCGCCGAAGUUCCUCCGAUGACUCGGCGGGCAGCUUCCGGGAAACCAAAGCUUUUGGGUUCCGGGGGAAGUAUGGUUGCAAAGCUGAAACUUAAAGGAAUUGACGGAAGGGCACCACCAGGAGUGGAGCCUGCGGCUUAAUUUGACUCAACACGGGAAACCUCACCAGGCCCAGACACCGGAAGGAUUGACAGAUUGAUAGUUCUUUCUUGAUUCGGUGGGUGGUGGUGCAUGGCCCGUUCUUAGUUGGUGGAGCGAUUUGUCUGGUUAAUUCCUAUAACGAACGAGACUCUAGCCUGCUAAAUAGGCGUACCUUAUGGUAUCGCGAAGGCCCCCGGCUUCGGCCGGGGGGUUUUUACUACCAACGUACAAACAAAUCUUCUUAGAGGGACAGGCGG